AGCUCUGUUUAGUGACAGUAUCAUAGCCAAUGAGGUUUAUCCAAGGCACAAUUACUGCUAAUUGAAAACUUCUCUGAUAUGAC
Molecule: small nuclear RNA, 83 nt
Organism: Panthera pardus (leopard)
Lineage: Eukaryota; Metazoa; Chordata; Mammalia; Carnivora; Felidae
Gene: U4
Rfam family: U4 spliceosomal RNA
About the family: U4 small nuclear RNA (U4 snRNA) is a component of the major U2-dependent spliceosome. The structure of U4 snRNA from yeast and human has been reported. U4 snRNA presents a k-turn RNA motif in the 5p-SL related to recognition of Snu13 protein.
Source: Ensembl